RNAcentral lists this ribosomal RNA (497 nucleotides) under uncultured bacterium. RNAcentral's name for it is "partial 16S ribosomal RNA". It matches the Rfam family "Bacterial small subunit ribosomal RNA", at positions 28 to 507 of the family's 1533-position model. The record is from RNAcentral.
GAUGAACGCUGGCGGCGUGCCUAAUACAUGCGAGUCGAGCGAACAGACGAGGAGCUUGCUCCUCUGACGUUAGCGGCGGACGGGUGAGUAACACGUGGAUAACCUACCUAUAAGACUGGGAUAACUUCGGGAAACCGGAGCUAAUACCGGAUAAUAUAUUGAACCGCAUGGUUCAAUAGUGAAAGACGGUUUUGCUGUCACUUAUAGAUGGAUCCGCGCCGCAUUAGCUAGUUGGUAAGGUAACGGCUUACCAAGGCAACGAUGCGUAGCCGACCUGAGAGGGUGAUCGGCCACACUGGAACUGAGACACGGUCCAGACUCCUACGGGAGGCAGCAGUAGGGAAUCUUCCGCAAUGGGCGAAAGCCUGACGGAGCAACGCCGCGUGAGUGAUGAAGGUCUUCGGAUCGUAAAACUCUGUUAUCAGGGAAGAACAAAUGUGUAAGUAACUAUGCACGUCUUGACGGUACCUAAUCAGAAAGCCACGGCUAACUACGUG